Long non-coding RNA from Peromyscus eremicus (cactus mouse), 406 nucleotides. RefSeq lists it as uncharacterized. The record is from RefSeq and is a predicted model, not a curated record. NCBI's taxonomy places the organism in Eukaryota, Metazoa, Chordata, Mammalia, Rodentia, Cricetidae. The transcript is spliced from 2 exons.
CAGCCAACCUGGAAACCCAGUCCUCGAGUGGGAGGAGGCGGAGCCUCCAGGCCUCCUGGGAGCUGGAAAUUCCCACCCGGCAGAGGAAUGCAGCCUCAUUCUUGGGGCCGCUCAGAAGUGCCUUGUCAAAGGCAGGAUGUCCCCAGGAAUGCAGGUUCUUACAGCGCUUAAAUGAGAAACACUGCACCGUGUCCAUCCAGCACACGGCAACACCCAAGAACUGUGGGCCACUAUGAUCGAGGUCUUCAUGAUUUCCUGAAGGAGGGAGAUUUUAACAACAUCAGCGAAACCAGAAACAACCUUAGCCAAGAUGGCAACUCCCAAGUUGUAUACGCUUCACUUGUGGGGAAAAAAGCUACUUUAAUAUCCCCAUUGACAUGCUUUUUAAAUCCUUCUUUUUAUUUAA